CCUACGGGUGGCAGCAGUAGGGAAUCUUCCACAAUGGGCGAAAGCCUGAUGGAGCAAAGCCGCGUGGGUGAAGAAGGUCGUCGGAUGGUAAAACCCUGUUGUUAGAGAAGAAAGUGCGGGAGAGUAACUGUUCACGUGUCGACGGUAUCAAAGCAGAAAGCCAAGGCUAACUACGUGCCAGCAGCCGCGGUAAGACGUAGGUGGCAAGCGUGAUCCGGAUUUAUUGGGCGUAACGGGAACGCAGGCGGUCUUUUAAGUCUGAUGUGAAAGCCUUCGGCUUAACCGGAGUAGUGCAUUGGCAACUGGGAGACUUGAGUGCAUCAGAGGCGAGUGGAACUCCAUGUGUAGCGG
This 351-nucleotide ribosomal RNA is filed under the name uncultured bacterium. RNAcentral describes it as "partial 16S ribosomal RNA". It matches the Rfam family "Bacterial small subunit ribosomal RNA", at positions 338 to 681 of the family's 1533-position model. The record is from RNAcentral.